GCCAAACUCAAAAAAGGGGUUUAGUAAUUUACCCUAAUUAAUAAUAUAAAAUUCCGUCAAAGCAAGAAAAUAACAAUUAAGCGCAUAUAGCUAAUUUCGGAGUUUGGUGUUCCCCAAAAUAACCAAUUGAGAUUUAAUGGGUAUUUGGUUUGGCUUAUAAGUUGGUCAAACCUACUUGUAAGUAGAACAUUAUAAGUAGAUUAACGUUUAGUUUGACU
Molecule: unclassified non-coding RNA, 218 nt
Filed under: Hevea brasiliensis (rubber tree)
Lineage: Eukaryota; Viridiplantae; Streptophyta; Magnoliopsida; Malpighiales; Euphorbiaceae
Source: RNAcentral